RNAcentral lists this long non-coding RNA (414 nucleotides) under Sinocyclocheilus grahami. RNAcentral's name for it is "lncRNA (ENSSGRG00000039724.1)". Lineage: Eukaryota; Metazoa; Chordata; Actinopteri; Cypriniformes; Cyprinidae. The record is from RNAcentral.
UGUCAGAGUGAACGGUUCUGUGUGUGUUGUUUGAAGGUCAGUGAUGGCAGCUUAUGUGCAGUCACUGGGAUGCCGGACGAUGAGCUGGCGGUCAGUUGCAGCGACUGCUCUGUCUGUAUCUGGAAGCUGGAGCGGGACUCCAAGAAGUGCAUUAUGGGGCUCGAUAAGGUGUCUUCAUACAAAGUGGAGUCUCCUUUGAGCUUUUUGUUUUACUGUGGCAGUCUGUUUGGAGUGUAUAUGGGUGGAACAGUCACUGAUGUGCUCUCUAGUAAAGCAGCUUAUAACUGGUUAAGAAGGGUAUGUCCUCUCGGCGUGAUGGCGAAUGACAGCAAGAGCUUUUGGCUGUUGGGCCAGAAACAGGGCGUUCUGUACGUUGGCCUCGUUGUAAGUUCAUCAUCUGUCAUUAUCAUUUGA